This 64-nucleotide transfer RNA is filed under the name Mierspenaeopsis hardwickii. RNAcentral's name for it is "tRNA-Ala". Lineage: Eukaryota; Metazoa; Arthropoda; Malacostraca; Decapoda; Penaeidae. The record is from RNAcentral.
GGAGUUAUAGUCAACUAUGGCGUUUGAUUUGCACUCAAAAAGUGCUCUUUUUGAGCUAACUUCA